GAUGAACGCUGGCGGCGUGCCUAAUACAUGCCAGUCGAGCGAACAGACGAGGAGCUUGCUCCUCUGACGUUAGCGGCGGACGGGUGAGUAACACGUGGAUAACCUACCUAUAAGACUGGGAUAACUUCGGGAAACCGGAGCUAAUACCGGAUAAUAUAUUGAACCGCAUGGUUCAAUAGUGAAAGACGGUUUUGCUGUCACUUAUAGAUGGAUCCGCGCCGCAUUAGCUAGUUGGUAAGGUAACGGCUUACCAAGGCAACGAUGCGUAGCCGACCUGAGAGGGUGAUAGGCCACACUGGAACUGAGACACGGUCCAGAGUCCUACGGGAGGCAGCAGUAGGGAAUCUGCCGCAGUGGGCGAAAGCUUGACGGAGCAACGCCGAGUGAGUGAUGAAGGUCUUCGGAUCGUAAAACUCUGUUAUUAGGGAAGAACAAAUGUGUAAGUAACUAUGCACGUCUUGGCGGUACCUAGUCAGAAAGCCACGGCUAACUACGUG
RNAcentral lists this ribosomal RNA (497 nucleotides) under uncultured bacterium. RNAcentral describes it as "partial 16S ribosomal RNA". It matches the Rfam family "Bacterial small subunit ribosomal RNA", at positions 28 to 507 of the family's 1533-position model. The record is from RNAcentral.